This 75-nucleotide transfer RNA is filed under the name Thermoproteota archaeon. RNAcentral describes it as "tRNA-Ala". It matches the Rfam family "tRNA". From Rfam's summary of the family: Transfer RNA (tRNA) molecules are approximately 80 nucleotides in length. Their secondary structure includes four short double-helical elements and three loops (D, anti-codon, and T loops). The record is from RNAcentral. Lineage: Archaea; Thermoproteati; Thermoproteota. RNAcentral also lists the same sequence under 1 other name.
GGGCCGGUGGUCAAGCCUGGUACUGACGCUGCCUUCGCAAGGCAGAAAUCGGGGGUUCGAAUCCCCCCCGGUCCA